AGAAUUAUUCCUUUUAGUAUUUGAUUUUAUUUUGUUUGGAUUUGAUAUCAGUGUAAACCCUACCAAAAAUAUUUUCGUUUUUGUUAAAAGUGUAGUAGUAUAAAUGUGGCCUAAAUUAAAAAUACAUUUAAGGAAAUGUAGGAAGCUCUAUGUCCAUGGAUAAUGAACUAAAGGCUCCAUUGCUGCUGAAGUUCAGGCUUAAGGCUCUGGACUUAUGAGUAAUUGAUGCACAGCACAAGAUGUGGGAUAAAUUGAGAGAAGGACAGCUCAAGUAAAUUAUUAUUUUAUAGUGAUCUAAUUGAUAAUGAUGGUGUGUGCAUACGAGUGUUAGGUGAUAUUAUAUUAUUACCAACUGAUGUACAAGAAUCAGUAGCAAGAGCUGUGACAAUGACUAAGAACAAUAACAAGGUAUAUCUUAAUGUGUGUUUCUCUUAUGCAUCAAGAUAUGAGAUUACUGAUACUAUACAGUGACUGGUUGAUGGAUCUCAUGAUGGUACUAUACUACCAACGUAAGUAUAUGUAC
This is a long non-coding RNA of Amphimedon queenslandica, 523 nucleotides long. RefSeq lists it as uncharacterized. Lineage: Eukaryota; Metazoa; Porifera; Demospongiae; Haplosclerida; Niphatidae. The transcript is spliced from 4 exons. The record is from RefSeq and is a predicted model, not a curated record.